Molecule: transfer RNA, 77 nt
Filed under: Heliconius melpomene (postman butterfly)
Lineage: Eukaryota; Metazoa; Arthropoda; Insecta; Lepidoptera; Nymphalidae
Description: tRNA HMEL010401
Rfam family: tRNA
About the family: Transfer RNA (tRNA) molecules are approximately 80 nucleotides in length. Their secondary structure includes four short double-helical elements and three loops (D, anti-codon, and T loops).
Source: RNAcentral
GAACGUAUGGUUUAGUGGUCACAGCGCUUGGAGGGUUUCCUUUCCAAGAAUCGCGGGUUCAAAUCCCACGACGUUCA